Molecule: ribosomal RNA, 878 nt
Filed under: Cordyceps jakajanicola
Lineage: Eukaryota; Fungi; Ascomycota; Sordariomycetes; Hypocreales; Cordycipitaceae
Description: partial large subunit ribosomal RNA
Rfam family: Eukaryotic large subunit ribosomal RNA
Source: RNAcentral
CGGGGGGAAGAUCAACAGGGAUUGCCCCAGUAACGGCGAGUGAAGCGGCAACAGCUCAAAUUUGAAAUCUGGCCCUCGGGUCCGAGUUGUAAUUUGCAGAGGAUGCUUCGGGCGAGGUGCCUUCCGAGUUCCCUGGAACGGGACGCCAUAGAGGGUGAGAGCCCCGUCUGGUCGGACACCGAGCCCGUGUGAAGCUCCUUCGAAGAGUCGAGUAGUUUGGGAAUGCUGCUCAAAAUGGGAGGUAUAUGUCUUCUAAAGCUAAAUAUUGGCCAGAGACCGAUAGCGCACAAGUAGAGUGAUCGAAAGAUGAAAAGCACUUUGAAAAGAGGGUUAAAAAGUACGUGAAAUUGUUGAAAGGGAAGCGCCCAUGACCAGACUUGGGCCCGGUGAAUCAUCCGGCGUUCUCGCCGGUGCACUUUGCCGGGCACAGGCCAGCAUCAGUCUGGCGCGGGGGAUAAAGGCUUCGGGAAUGUGGCUCCCUCGGGAGUGUUAUAGCCCGUUGCGCAAUACCCUGCGCUGGACUGAGGUACGCGCAUCGCAAGGAUGCUGGCGUAAUGGUCAUCAGCGACCCGUCUUGAAACACGGACCAAGGAGUCGUCUUCGUAUGCGAGUGUUCGGGUGUCAAACCCCUACGCGGAAUGAAAGUGAACGCAGGUGAGAGCUUCGGCGCAUCAUCGACCGAUCCUGAUGUUCUCGGAUGGAUUUGAGUAAGAGCAUACGGGGCCGGACCCGAAAGAAGGUGAACUAUGCCUGUAUAGGGUGAAGCCAGAGGAAACUCUGGUGGAAGCUCGCAGCGGUUCUGACGUGCGAAUCGAUCGUCAAAUAUGGGCAUGGGGGCGAAAGACUAAUCGAACCUUCUAGUAGCUGGUUUCCGCGGU